GUUUGUAAUAUGAAAUGCACUCUCUACAUACUCAAAAUUCCCCUUUGAAAUGACAUGAAAUUAAAACAUCAAUAUUUAAAUUCCAAUGAUCUGGCUGCAUUUCGAGCUCCCGCUUGAGCCACCGCUCCGAUGCAUUUGACUGUUAAGGUUGCCAUAGCGAUCACGUGUGUGGGUGGCACUGUAGAAGGACUUCCUGUUGUGCGUUUAAACGUUUGAUAUUUUACGAUGAAAAGAACACCUAAGCCAUCGGGAUCAGCAUUCCAAAAGCGAAGGAAGGAAGAAGAAUAAAAACGGGCCCAAAGCAGAGCGUCUUCAUUCAGGCAUCACGCAGCAGCAGCACAUUUACUGAGCUACAGUCUCAGCAUCUAGAACCAGAAGAAGAACCCAACACCACACCAGCAGACUCAGUGCUCCAACCCAACAGCCUGAAGAGACACCAUCAUCAGCUUCAACAGAUGUCUGUGAACAUGUAUGAGCUGCUGGCCCCAUGGAUCCUGCUGACUGGCCACAGCAGUUGAACAAAAUGGAAAGUAGAACUUUCUUUAUGAUGACACUUUGAUGUUUGAGAUUUGCUUUUGAUUGCACAGUUAUUGGUUUUGC
Non-coding RNA from Nothobranchius furzeri (turquoise killifish), 600 nucleotides. The record is from RefSeq and is a predicted model, not a curated record. Lineage: Eukaryota; Metazoa; Chordata; Actinopteri; Cyprinodontiformes; Nothobranchiidae.